Molecule: unclassified non-coding RNA, 294 nt
Filed under: Hevea brasiliensis (rubber tree)
Lineage: Eukaryota; Viridiplantae; Streptophyta; Magnoliopsida; Malpighiales; Euphorbiaceae
Source: RNAcentral
CGUCGUCUCCACCGACCUCCCCAACGAGAAGAAACCGCGAAGAAAAAACUAAAUAAAAAAUCAAAGAAAUCAAAUCGUCUCCGUUCUCUCAACGCCAUGAAUCGCCGCGACGAGGUCAACCCCUUCGACGAAGACGGCGUUAACCCCUUCGCAAACGGCGCCGCUCCGGCGUCGAAGUCGCGGUUCCCUGGCCUGUCGUCACUCCCGCUCGGCUUCGGCGGCGGCAACAAGCACGGCGCUACUGCUGAUAUCCCGCUGGACUCGAUGAGCGAUGGCAAGGCGAAGGAGAGGGAG